UGGGGAAUAUUGGACAAUGGGCGAAAGCCUGAUCCAGCCAUGCCGCGUGUGUGAAGAAGGUCUUCGGAUUGUAAAGCACUUUAAGUUGGGAGGAAGGGCAUUAACCUAAUACGUUAGUGUUUUGACGUUACCGACAGAAUAAGCACCGGCUAACUCUGUGCCAGCAGCCGCGGUAAUACAGAGGGUGCAAGCGUUAAUCGGGAUUACUGGGCGUAAAGCGCGCGUAGGUGGUUUGUUAAGUUGGAUGUGAAAGCCCCGGGCUCAACCUGGGAACUGCAUCCAAAACUGGCAAGCUAGAGUACGGUAGAGGGUGGUGGAAUUUCCUGUGUAGCGGUGAAAUGCGUAGAUAUAGGAAGGAACACCAGUGGCGAAGGCGACCACCUGGACUAAUACUGACACUGAGGUGCGAAAGCGUGGGGAGCAAACA
RNAcentral lists this ribosomal RNA (427 nucleotides) under uncultured bacterium. RNAcentral's name for it is "partial 16S ribosomal RNA". It matches the Rfam family "Bacterial small subunit ribosomal RNA", at positions 355 to 774 of the family's 1533-position model. The record is from RNAcentral.